UGAGAAAUACUCGAAGUCUCAGUAACAGUGUCUUUGUGUUCUAGCGGCCACCUGUGGAGAGAGAGAGAACGAGAGUGAAUCAUUGAAGAGCAAACUGUGAACGUGAUACCUACCCAGAAAGCUGUAAACAGCAGAGCCGGUGAGAAAUACUCGAAGUCUCAGUAACAGUGUCUUUGGGUCCUAGCGGCCACCUGUGGAGAGAGAACAGGACGAGAGUGAAUCAUUGAAGAGCAAACUGUGAACGUGAUACCUACCCAGAGAGCUGUAAGCAGCAGAACCGUGACUAUCUGUGGGGCACAAGGCGAACGUGGGCGGACGUACGACAGGGAACGUAAAGGCACGUGGGGCGAGGACCCCCUGCCGACCCGAGGAAAGAUACACCGACAGUGGAGAUCCUCCUUACCAGUCACACCAAAAUUAUUCUGCCUCCAGGACGGAAGAAGGAGGGCGCCACGGUUAGCAGGGUCCAGGCCGGAGCCUGACGUUUCCCUUUUCUCCCCCGGCUUGUGGUGGUUGGCACCCCUGUUGCCCUUGGCCUGUCUGCCCGUGGCUGCAGUCUCCCUGGAGGGAGACGAAGAGACCUAUUAGUUUUAAAUUCCCCUUUCCCCCAAAUUCCCAGUUCUUUUAGAUAUUUAAACUAAAUAAAGCUUGUUUUAAAUUUUA
Molecule: non-coding RNA, 663 nt
Organism: Paramisgurnus dabryanus
Lineage: Eukaryota; Metazoa; Chordata; Actinopteri; Cypriniformes; Cobitidae
Source: RefSeq, a predicted model, not a curated record